RNAcentral lists this small RNA (1558 nucleotides) under Pan troglodytes (chimpanzee). Its description in RNAcentral is "processed transcript". Lineage: Eukaryota; Metazoa; Chordata; Mammalia; Primates; Hominidae. The record is from RNAcentral.
CUGUUAAACACCUGACUGUAUUGUUCUAGUCUUGAUGCCUGAUUACUGUCCGAUUAUGAGACUGCCAUCUAGCAGUGGGAUAUGCAUUGUGUGGCUAAGUCUUAGGCCACACAAUGAGUGUUGCUUUCCUUAGCCCUCUGUCUCAAAAUAGUCCAUCUAAUUCUGGUCCAGGCUUAAGAGUGCAUAUCUCAAGCAGUGAACGCCAGGCAUUUGUACCUGUCUGGAGAAACCCAGAGCCUUGCUUUAUCCAGAUACAUCUUGGGUAUGUUCACAGAACCAUUAAAGUGAGGGUCAGACACUCAAUACUUGAUCUGAGGAAAGUCUAAGUUAGUGAUCCCUCAGGACUAAUGUAUACACACACUUCUUAGGGCAACACUGGCCAGUCUCAGGUGGAUGGUAAUAAGGAUGCUCUUCACCAGCUGUGUUUUGUUUCUCUGCGUUCUUCUAAGUGGGGGCUCACGGGAUAUACCUGAUUGCCUCGGUGGGGAAAAGCUGAAGUUAUUUUAUUUUAUUGUCUGCAGCAUCAAUAGUACCUCACCGGAAGAGUGACUUGUCCAAGGUUGUGGUCAGGGCCCUCUUCACAGGGGCCUGUGUAUCCCUUAUCAGUGCCUGUAUGGCAGGUAGGUGUCUCAGCUCUGAUGGAGAUACUGCUGCAUGAGGGUGAUGGUUGGAGGAAUAAUAUGAGGAAGGUAGAAUUGUCCUUGAGUACAGGGGCAACAGAGAUUACUUCCCUAGAUCAUGACAGGCUGUCUUUCAGAAUAUUGAUUUACCCAUCCAUUCCACAGAUACAUGGCAAAGGCACCUAAUCAAGAGUGUCCACAAUUCGUGCCAAAAGAAUAAAGAGCCUUGAGAAGCACGUGUCAGAUCUUCCCCUUAGUACCUCUGUCUCCUUUAUCCAGGAAUCCUCUAUGUCCCCAGGGGAGCUGAAGCUGACUGUGUCUCCUUCCCAAACACAAGUUUCACCAAUAGAACCUAUGAGACCUACAUGUGCUGCAGAGGACUCUUUCAGAGUACUUCUCUGAAUGGCACCAACCCUCCUUCUUUUUCUGGUCCCUGGGAAGAUAAGGAGUUCAGUGCUAUGGCCCUUACUAACUGCUGUGGAUUCUACAACAAUACCGUCUGUGCCUAAGGCUGCUUGAUCUAUUUCCAUAACAGUUUUGAUCUUAACAGCUUUGUGAUUGCAAAGGUGUUUAUGUACUCAGGGUGCCCACAACUCACUCACCAAGAUGUUUAACAGUAAGUAACAGUAAAUGUAAAAGAUUCAUUUUGGGCCGGGCUCAGUGGCUCACGCCUGUAAUCCCAGCACUUUGGGAGGCCGAGGCGGGUGGACCACAAGGUCAGGAGAUCGAGACCAUCCUGGCUAACAUGGUGAAACCCCGUCUCUACUCAAAAUACAAAAAAUUAGCCGGGAGUGGUGUCGGGCGACUGUAGUCCCAGCUACUCGCGAGGCUGAGGCAGGAGAAUGGCGUGAAUCCGGGAGGCGGAGCUUGCAGCGAGCCAAGAUCGCGCCACUGCACUCCAGCCUGGGUGACAGAGCGAGACUCUGCCUCAAAAAAAA